Molecule: ribosomal RNA, 773 nt
Filed under: Escherichia coli
Lineage: Bacteria; Pseudomonadati; Pseudomonadota; Gammaproteobacteria; Enterobacterales; Enterobacteriaceae
Also listed under: 1 other name
Description: partial 23S ribosomal RNA
Rfam family: Bacterial large subunit ribosomal RNA
Source: RNAcentral
GGGAGGCUUUGAAGUGUGGACGCCAGUCUGCAUGGAGCCGACCUUGAAAUACCACCCUUUAAUGUUUGAUGUUCUAACGUUGACCCGUAAUCCGGGUUGCGGACAGUGUCUGGUGGGUAGUUUGACUGGGGCGGUCUCCUCCUAAAGAGUAACGGAGGAGCACGAAGGUUGGCUAAUCCUGGUCGGACAUCAGGAGGUUAGUGCAAUGGCAUAAGCCAGCUUGACUGCGAGCGUGACGGCGCGAGCAGGUGCGAAAGCAGGUCAUAGUGAUCCGGUGGUUCUGAAUGGAAGGGCCAUCGCUCAACGGAUAAAAGGUACUCCGGGGAUAACAGGCUGAUACCGCCCAAGAGUUCAUAUCGACGGCGGUGUUUGGCACCUCGAUGUCGGCUCAUCACAUCCUGGGGCUGAAGUAGGUCCCAAGGGUAUGGCUGUUCGCCAUUUAAAGUGGUACGCGAGCUGGGUUUAGAACGUCGUGAGACAGUUCGGUCCCUAUCUGCCGUGGGCGCUGGAGAACUGAGGGGGGCUGCUCCUAGUACGAGAGGACCGGAGUGGACGCAUCACUGGUGUUCGGGUUGUCAUGCCAAUGGCACUGCCCGGUAGCUAAAUGCGGAAGAGAUAAGUGCUGAAAGCAUCUAAGCACGAAACUUGCCCCGAGAUGAGUUCUCCCUGACUCCUUGAGAGUCCUGAAGGAACGUUGAAGACGACGACGUUGAUAGGCCGGGUGUGUAAGCGCAGCGAUGCGUUGAGCUAACCGGUACUAAUGAACCGUGAGG